Molecule: non-coding RNA, 616 nt
Organism: Linepithema humile (Argentine ant)
Lineage: Eukaryota; Metazoa; Arthropoda; Insecta; Hymenoptera; Formicidae
Source: RefSeq, a predicted model, not a curated record
AGAAUCGAAGAAAGAUCGAUUUCGAUUUUUCAUGCUGUUCUCUUUAGACCGAUCAUAGUAGCAGACGUCUUUCGUGAUUUGCUGGGACAUAUACGACGAGGCUUGGAAUGAUUUUGAAUUUGAUUCUCCUUAGGAUAAAAACUUGUAUUACAUCUUGAUCAGUACGUGCAGUAAUUAUUGCUAAUAAAAUUUUCGUAGAAGAAGACAUUAUAUUGAUCAAACGUAACUGCUAGAAAUUCAAUGAAGACAGUACAUGAGAAGAUGAUUUUCAAAAUCAGUUUGUUAUUCGUACUUGCUAUCUUCAGCAUGUUUAGGCAUGAGACACUAGCAUGGCGGUGGUGGAGGAAGUGGAGGACGCCUGAAAAAUGUUACUUUAAGUUGGAUCAUGGUAAUUGCACUGACUAUACUGACUAUAAGGAAAGUACGUGUUUUUGGUUUAAUGCGACCAAUGGAACAUGUUCACCUUUUAAAUACGCGGGUUGCAGAGGAAAUGGUAAUAAUUUUAAUUCUUAUACAAAUUGUAUGAUUGCCUGCAUCAACACAAUAUUUGAAAAAAAUUUUACAUUGGAUGAGUAUGUGUGAUAGUUUGAUAUUAAAUUUAAAUUGAAAUAUUAAA